GUGCUCACUUUGGCAGCACAUAUACUAAAAUUGAAACAAUAGAAGAUUAGCAUGGCCCCUGCAAAUUCAAGAAGUGUUCCAUAUAUUU
Small nuclear RNA from Ictidomys tridecemlineatus (thirteen-lined ground squirrel), 88 nucleotides. The record is from Ensembl. Lineage: Eukaryota; Metazoa; Chordata; Mammalia; Rodentia; Sciuridae.